RNAcentral lists this signal recognition particle RNA (98 nucleotides) under Robiginitomaculum sp. RNAcentral's name for it is "signal recognition particle sRNA small type". It matches the Rfam family "Bacterial small signal recognition particle RNA". Rfam says of the family: The signal recognition particle (SRP) is a universally conserved ribonucleoprotein involved in the co-translational targeting of proteins to membranes. Archaeal SRP consists of a 7S RNA and homologues of the eukaryotic SRP19 and SRP54 proteins. The record is from RNAcentral. Lineage: Bacteria; Pseudomonadati; Pseudomonadota; Alphaproteobacteria; Maricaulales; Robiginitomaculaceae.
UAGAGACUGGCGGCGGGCGAGACCCUCGCCAACCCGGUCAGAUCCGGAAGGAAGCAGCCGCAACGAGUUUUUCUUGGGUCGUCGUUCAGUCUCUACUU